AAUUAAUGAUCUUGUAUAAGUUUAUAUUUUGAAAAUAUAAUAAAUAAAUUAAAAUUUUAUAUUAAUUU
Molecule: transfer RNA, 68 nt
Filed under: Gasteruption tournieri
Lineage: Eukaryota; Metazoa; Arthropoda; Insecta; Hymenoptera; Gasteruptiidae
Description: tRNA-Ser
Source: RNAcentral